Molecule: transfer RNA, 72 nt
Filed under: Phrynosoma platyrhinos (Desert horned lizard)
Lineage: Eukaryota; Metazoa; Chordata; Lepidosauria; Squamata; Phrynosomatidae
Description: tRNA-OTHER
Source: RNAcentral
GCCAGUGUGGUGUAGUGGUUUGAACAUUGGAGUAUGACUCUGGAGACCUGGGUUCGAAUCCCUGCUUGGCCA